AUGACUUAUUCCGAACUGACCCAUGCGUUCUCUUUAGACCCGGGGACGGACCUGGAAGAUGUGCUUCGUGAGUUUGACGACGUGGUGGAGGAACUCAAAGCGCCUUGCAGAAGCAGCUCUGGUGCGACCCAACAUCUCCUUGAAGAGGGGAUACGCGGCGCGUCGAGCGACUAUUACAGCAUUAGUGGCGAUAGUGGCGUCGAGGACUCGGAUUACUGCAGCGAAGCUUCUCUGGGUAACAGUUUGAACACCAGCCAAGAGGAGCUCCGCCCAGCGGGCAUCUCGCUGACAGCUAAAGCGCGGCUGGGAGACACGGUGGAUCUUCAGAGCUUCAUCGACAGCUUGGACCGGGAGCUCUCUGAGAUGUGAACGGAGAGGGGAACACAGCAGAGAGAGAGCGGGAGAGAGAGAGAGAGUGAGAGGUGAGAAGAGGAGGGCAUUGGGUAACACAAGCGUAGCCCCACAAUAUCUAAACAGAUCUGCAAGGUGGGGGUGAGGGUCGGGUGAGGUUGGGGUGGAGGGGGGGAGGGGGUAAAGGUCCACAUAUCCCUGGUCGCCCCAGUAGGGAAAAGGUUAACGCUUAGCUAUUAAAGGGCAUGCUGUUCCCUUACGUACAUCUGCCACCGGCGCUGAACCUCUCAUCCCUCCAACGUGCUCUCUAACGCCCUCUCCCACCAGACUCCGCAGACCCCAGCAGGGUCAGAUCCAGGGAAGAGGACGGGAUCCAGGGGAGAGGGGGGAAGGAGUGAGGAGAGGGUCCAUCUGCCACAGAGCAUGAGAGGGCUGCAUCUAGAGAGUUGGGGGGCCUUGUUUGUGCCACGUUUUCAAAUUCCCUCGAAUGCCACGCCAGUAAUCCGCUUGCAAUCCUUCUGGCAAUUUCUUUUUUUUUUAUAAAAUGAUGAAUUCCUUUCUGUCUUGAUGCAUUUCCACCAGCUGGGCUUUAAGACCGUCUUGCAUUUUUAAGAAGGAGCCGAUGUUUAUGUUCGGAUGGCAAUGAAUUUAGUCUGAAUUUUUUGUUCAUAUUGUUUCAUAUUGUAUAGUUUGUGCAAUUGUCAAACUUUGACGCUCUCGUCACCAUCAUAUUCGACAGAAAAGUGGACAAAUUAAAACAACUUUUAAUGAUAUUGCUAUUGUAUUAUUUCCUCCUGUGUCAUAUUACAUGUAGUUUUUAAUACUUCUUACAGCGACAGCAGUGACAGUAAUAUAUUAAAAGAUAAUCCCAAAAUAAUAAGCAUAUUUAACGUCACAUCCAUCUGUACACAGUGAAGAAAAGAAAAAAGGUUAAUACUUUAAACUUGCUUGUGCUACCUGAUCACAGCUCGCAUUAAUUGAACCCCGGCCAAAGAAUACAUGAAGAAUGCGUCAUUAGUGCACACAGUCACACAAUGGUUUACAAACUCGUUUCUUUUCUUCCUUUGCAUGUAAUCUCUUUGCCAUGAAGAACCUGGACAUUUCUGUACCAUUAAUGCUGGUUUCAAUUGAACAAAAAUAAACGUCCCCGGAAUUCAACCUUGUUGGAGCAUUUUGCAUAAAUGAGGAUGGAAGCGACGCCAUGUCAUUUGAUAUUCAUCCGUCUUUGUAUUCAUUGGGUUCACCUGCUUCUUCCACAGCCACCGUCGCUGCUGCGUCUAUCGCUGCUGUCAUUUUAUUAUACGGGUGCAACAGAUGCUGGCAGUUUAUACCAGUCUGUAUACGUCUAUCUCAGCAGCAGCCAGGGUAGUCAAAGCUCAAAGCAACACGUUGUUGGGUGGAGAGAUGACACAGGCAAUGCUGGCUGCUCUCGUGCCACAUUUGGCAGCUCUGUUUUCUCACUGAGCUUUCCAUUUCUAACUGGGAGCAUCAUCUGGCCACCACCACCACCACCACCACCUCCAUUCUGCUGAACAAUUGAACGCGCACCCGACAAGCUGAGGUCGAGGGGGAGUUGGAUGGUGGCGCUUGUCAUUCUUGCCAUAACAAAAGGAUUAUUCAGUUUUCCCUAUGACUUUCCAUUUGCCCAUUGUCUUGAUGGCUUAUUCCAACGAAGCUUGAUUUAUAAAGCUUUUAAUUUUUUUUGCGCUGUUCGAACCCCAAAAAAUAAAAACAAGAAAAAGCGUCUGUUUUUUAAAGCAGUUUGUUUAUCCCCAUACUUGCUUGGUAUUGCGUAUCAUAUUACAUCGCCCAUAGCGCGCACGUCAACAAAGGGAGGAGGACAGGCUGUACGUUCAGCAUACUGUUGACUGCCUCUUUAUGUCUCAUUAUUGGACACUCUGCCCAGGGAGUCCACUUCUUCCUCUGCACUCUGACCCAGUCACUUAACCCCAAACUGCGGGCCAACAGGGGGCUUGGCAGAGGGAUGGUGGGGGGGGGGGGGGGCGAUGGGAGAGCACAAGGUUA
Molecule: long non-coding RNA, 2376 nt
Organism: Gadus morhua (Atlantic cod)
Lineage: Eukaryota; Metazoa; Chordata; Actinopteri; Gadiformes; Gadidae
Source: Ensembl